AUUCUGCUCAUGCAGAGGUGGAAUCCACAAGAAGGGAGCGGCAUGAACCACAGAUUUCUCCUGAAGUUCCAGCAACAAAAUUCACUUCAGUAUAACAACGCUUCCUUUGGCAUCUGUAAGAAAUACAGAGAGCUUCAAUAACCCUAAAAAAUAAUUUCAGAAGGAGAAGAAACACAAGCAUACAGACAAGGGCUCCUGAGCCAGCCUACAGUGCCCAUGCUGCCCCCUCCAGACAGACAUCUUUGGAUACAUGGACAAGGCUACCUGGCUGUGUGGUCAGAGAGAACGGAAGCCAGGGCACCUGGAAAGCACCUCUUUGGUGAGGCAGCACAGGCAAGCAGGGGAACAGAAAAUAACCACCAAGGGAAUAUUGCUGAUUGAACUGCCAUUGCACAAAGCAUGUUUUGCUUCAGUUUUCCAGAUGGGUUUUCCUAACCAGUUCUAGCAGAUGACUUGUGAAAGCUGGCAGUCCUGGACUACUGCUUCUCAGCAGGACAGCAGGUUGGGGCUGGGAAAUUCCCUGGGAACAUGGUGGCAUUUCAUCCUGUUCUCCGGGAGCAUGUGAUCAGGAGGACCAGCAUGGCAGCACAUGGUGCUGGAUUUCUACAAAAGAGCUAAGGGCCUUGUGCUUUAGAGACUGCUGCAACCAUCUACAGAGGAGGUGAGUGUCGUGCCUGAUGAACCUCCUC
Molecule: non-coding RNA, 689 nt
Organism: Struthio camelus australis
Lineage: Eukaryota; Metazoa; Chordata; Aves; Struthioniformes; Struthionidae
Source: RefSeq, a predicted model, not a curated record